This 211-nucleotide long non-coding RNA is filed under the name Elaeis guineensis (African oil palm). Its description in RNAcentral is "long non-coding RNA (EGUI_LNC033125)". Lineage: Eukaryota; Viridiplantae; Streptophyta; Magnoliopsida; Arecales; Arecaceae. The record is from RNAcentral.
AAGGCUUUCCCUAGAGCACACUAAUACUCAUGUAGGCCUUUGAAUGUUGUCUCUUGUUGCCGAUCAGGUUUCGAUCUUGGGGUCAGUAACUGACCAAGUUGGAGGUUAGGCAUAGGUUGAUGAUGUAGUAUUGUCUUAUCAUAGGUGCUUGGAUCUCUCUAUGAUAUUUGAGGUGGUCUCGCCAAUCAAGUCAUCAAUGGAUGCUCGGUUG